GUACACGCUGUGACUAGCAUAUCAAUAAGCGGAGGAAAAGAAACUAACAAGGAUUCCCCUAGUAACGGCGAGUGAAGCGGGAAGAGCUCAAAUUUGAAAUCUUAAAGGGUUUCCCUUUACGAAUUGUAGUUUAAAGAAGUGUUUUCUGUUGAGGUUUUGGUAAAAGUUCUUUGGAAUAGGACAUCAUAGAGGGUGAGAAUCCCGUAUUUGACCUUUACUUUCAACUUUGUGAUACACUUUCAAAGAGUCGGAUUGUUUGGGAAUGCAGUCCAAAAUGGGUGGUAAAUUUCAUCUAAAGCUAAAUAUCGGCGAGAGACCGAUAGCGAACAAGUACCGUGAGGGAAAGAUGAAAAGAACUUUGAAAAGAGAGUUAAACAGUACGUGAAAUUGUCAAAAGGGAAGCGUUUGACACCAGUGUUGUUUUUCUGAAAAUCAAUUAAAGAACUGUUUAUGCUAAGUUGUUUAGACUUUAUCAGCUAACUGUUUAGUUUUGAGCUUUUCUUUAAUGCACUUUUCAGUUAACAAGUCAACAUCAAUUUCUUUUGCUGUGAAAAAGCUUGAGGAAGGUGGCUUGAGAUUCGUCUUAAGUGUUUAUAGCCUCUUGCCUAUGCAGUCGGAGAGAUUGAGGUCUGCAGCGUAGAUCCUUCGGGGCUAAAUGCAUUUGUGCUAAGUUAUAGCAUUUUAUAGACAACUUGUUGACUAUGAUUUGUCUUGUAGCUUACUCGCUUAUGUUAUUUUACCUACGCUUAGGAUGUUGAGUCGUAGAGCACGCAG
Molecule: ribosomal RNA, 774 nt
Filed under: uncultured Neocallimastigales
Lineage: Eukaryota; Fungi; Neocallimastigomycota; Neocallimastigomycetes; Neocallimastigales
Description: partial large subunit ribosomal RNA
Rfam family: Eukaryotic large subunit ribosomal RNA
Source: RNAcentral